GGAAGUGUAGCUCAGUUGGUUAGAGCAUCCGACUUUUAAUCGGAUGGUCCUGGGUUCGAGUCCCAGCACUUCCA
Non-coding RNA from Rhodopirellula sp. SWK7, 74 nucleotides. The record is from Rfam. NCBI's taxonomy places the organism in Bacteria, Pseudomonadati, Planctomycetota, Planctomycetia, Pirellulales, Pirellulaceae.